AACGAACGCUGGCGGCAUGCCUAACACAUGCAAGUCGAACGAGACCUUCGGGUCUAGUGGCGCACGGGUGCGUAACGCGUGGGAACCUGCCCUUAGGUUCGGAAUAACUCCCCGAAAGGGGUGCUAAUACCGGAUAAUGUCUUCGGACCAAAGAUUUAUCGCCUUUGGAUGGGCCCGCGUUGGAUUAGCUAGUUGGUAGGGUAAAAGCCUACCAAGGCGACGAUCCAUAGCUGGUCUGAGAGGAUGAUCAGCCACACUGGGACUGAGACACGGCCCAGACUCGAGCGGGAGGCAGCGGUUAGGAAUAUUGGGCAGUGGGCGAAAGCCUGAUCCAGCGAUGCCGCGUGAGUGAUGAAGGCGUUAGGGUUGUAAAGCUCUUUUGCCCGGGAUGAUAAUGACAGUACCGGGAGAAGAAGCACCGGCUAACUCCGUG
RNAcentral lists this ribosomal RNA (433 nucleotides) under uncultured bacterium. Its description in RNAcentral is "partial 16S ribosomal RNA". It matches the Rfam family "Bacterial small subunit ribosomal RNA", at positions 29 to 507 of the family's 1533-position model. The record is from RNAcentral.